Molecule: long non-coding RNA, 224 nt
Filed under: Lathyrus oleraceus (garden pea)
Lineage: Eukaryota; Viridiplantae; Streptophyta; Magnoliopsida; Fabales; Fabaceae
Description: Pisum sativum (pea) long non-coding RNA (PSAT_LNC035222)
Source: RNAcentral
AAGAAAGAAAAAUCUAAAGGCUCAUGCUAUAAUUAUGGAAGAGUUGGUCAUUACAAGUCGAAUUAUCCAUUGCAUAAGAAAGAUAAAGGAAAGGGCCUAAAAGAAGUCUAGCAAGCCUAUAAAGGCAACACAAGUGAAAAUGAUGAAAUGGAAAAUCCUUGCCUCAUGGCCUAUCAUAAGAAGAAGAAUGUAAGUCAUUCUAAAUAUGAACAUAUUAAUAAAAU